Molecule: ribosomal RNA, 1343 nt
Filed under: uncultured bacterium
Lineage: Bacteria
Description: 16S ribosomal RNA
Rfam family: Bacterial small subunit ribosomal RNA
Source: RNAcentral
GACGAACGCUGGCGGCGUGCUUAACACAUGCAAGUCGAACGGAAAGGCCCUGCUUUUGUGGGGUGCUCGAGUGGCGAACGGGUGAGUAACACGUGAGUAACCUGCCCUUGACUCUGGGAUAACUUCAGGAAACUGGGGCUAAUACCGGAUAGGAGCUCCUGCUGCAUGGUGGGGGUUGGAAAGUUUCGGCGGUUGGGGAUGGACUCGCGGCUUAUCAGCUUGUUGGUGGGGUAGUGGCUUACCAAGGCUUUGACGGGUAGCCGGCCUGAGAGGGUGACCGGCCACAUUGGGACUGAGAUACGGCCCAGACUCCUACGGGAGGCAGCAGUGGGGAAUAUUGCACAAUGGGCGGAAGCCUGAUGCAGCAACGCCGCGUGCGGGAUGACGGCCUUCGGGUUGUAAACCGCUUUCGCCUGUGACGAAGCGUGAGUGACGGUAAUGGGUAAAGAAGCACCGGCUAACUACGUGCCAGCAGCCGCGGUGAUACGUAGGGUGCGAGCGUUGUCCGGAUUUAUUGGGCGUAAAGGGCUCGUAGGUGGUUGAUCGCGUCGGAAGUGUAAUCUUGGGGCUUAACCCUGAGCGUGCUUUCGAUACGGGUUGACUUGAGGAAGGUAGGGGAGAAUGGAAUUCCUGGUGGAGCGGUGGAAUGCGCAGAUAUCAGGAGGAACACCAGUGGCGAAGGCGGUUCUCUGGGCCUUUCCUGACGCUGAGGAGCGAAAGCGUGGGGAGCGAACAGGCUUAGAUACCCUGGUAGUCCACGCUGUAAACGGUGGGUACUAGGUGUGGGGUCCAUUCCACGGGUUCCGUGCCGUAGCUAACGCUUUAAGUACCCCGCCUGGGGAGUACGGCCGCAAGGCUAAAACUCAAAGGAAUUGACGGGGCCCCGCACAAGCGGCGGAGCAUGCGGAUUAAUUCGAUGCAACGCGUAGAACCUUACCUGGGUUUGACAUGGAUCGGGAGUGCUCAGAGAUGGGUGUGCCUCUUUUGGGGUCGGUUCACAGGUGGUGCAUGCCUGUCGUCAGCUCGUGUCGUGAGAUGUUGGGUUAAGUCCCGCAACGAGCGCAACCCUUGUUCACUGUUGCCAGCACGUUAUGGUGGGGACUCAGUGGAGACCGCCGGGGUCAACUCGGAGGAAGGUGGGGAUGACGUCAAGUCCUCAUGCCCCUUAUGUCCAGGGCUUCACGCAUGCUACAAUGGCUGGUACAGAGAGUGGCGAGCCUGUGAGGGUGAGCGAAUCUCGGAAAGCCGGUCUCAGUUCGGAUUGGGGUCUGCAACUCGACCUCAUGAAGUCGGAGUCGCUAGUAAUCGCAGAUCAGCAACGCUGCGGUGAAUACGUUCCCGGG